UCAGAUAGCCGGAUGGCUGCCUUCGUCCAUUUUUGUGGGGGGGGGGGAGGAAAGUCCGGGCUCCACGGAGACAUGGUGCCGGGUAACGCCCGGCGGGGGCGACCCUAGGGAAAGUGCCACAGAGAGUAGACCGCCGGUGCGCAGUUGCCUGCCGGCAAGGGUGAAAGGGUGCGGUAAGAGCGCACCGCGCCGCCGGUA
This 198-nucleotide RNase P RNA is filed under the name Alphaproteobacteria bacterium. Its description in RNAcentral is "partial RNase P RNA component class A". It matches the Rfam family "Bacterial RNase P class A", at positions 1 to 191 of the family's 367-position model. From Rfam's summary of the family: Ribonuclease P (RNase P) is a ubiquitous endoribonuclease, found in archaea, bacteria and eukarya as well as chloroplasts and mitochondria. Its best characterised activity is the generation of mature 5'-ends of tRNAs by cleaving the 5'-leader elements of precursor-tRNAs. Cellular RNase Ps are ribonucleoproteins. The record is from RNAcentral. Lineage: Bacteria; Pseudomonadati; Pseudomonadota; Alphaproteobacteria.